GCUACGGUGAGCAGCAGUGAGGAAUAUUGGUCAAUGGCCGCAGGGCUGAACCAGCCAAGUCGCGUGAGGGAUGACGGUCCUAUGGAUUGUAAACCUCUUUUGUCAGGUAGCAAAGGGCGCCACGUGUGGCGCUUUGCGAGUACCUGAAGAAAAAGCAUCGGCUAACUCCGUGCCAGCAGCCGCGGUAAUACGGGGGAUGCGACCGUUAUCCGGAUGUAUUGGGUUUAAAGGGGGCGCAGGAGGAAUGUCCAGUCAGCGGUAACAUUUCGGGGCGAAACCCCGUCGUGCCGGUGACACUGGCGGUCUUGAGUGAGCGAGAAGUAUGCGGAAUGCGUGGUGUAGCGGGGAAAUGCAUAGAUAUCACGCAGAACUCCGAUUGCGAAGGCAGCAUACCGGCGCUCAACUGACGCUCAUGCACGAAAGCGUGGGUAUCGAACAGGAUUAGAGACCCCAGUAGUC
This 459-nucleotide ribosomal RNA is filed under the name uncultured bacterium. Its description in RNAcentral is "partial 16S ribosomal RNA". It matches the Rfam family "Bacterial small subunit ribosomal RNA", at positions 338 to 795 of the family's 1533-position model. The record is from RNAcentral.